This 336-nucleotide ribosomal RNA is filed under the name uncultured Pseudomonadota bacterium. RNAcentral's name for it is "bacterial SSU rRNA". It matches the Rfam family "Bacterial small subunit ribosomal RNA", at positions 29 to 351 of the family's 1533-position model. Lineage: Bacteria; Pseudomonadati; Pseudomonadota. The record is from RNAcentral.
AGCGAACGCUGGCGGCGUGCUUAACACAUGCAAGUCGAACGUGAAAUGGGGCAACCCAAAGUAAAGUGGCGUACGGGUGAAUAACGCGUAGGUAAUCUACCCCAAAAUCUGGAAUAACCGGCCGAAAGGCUGGCUAAUACUAGAUAGAGCGACGGAAUCCGUAAUUGGGUUUUUCGGGAAAGGGAGCUCUCAAGAGCCUUCGUUUUGGGAUGAGCCUGCGUCUCAUUAGCUAGUUGGCGAGGUAACGGCUCACCAAGGCAUUGAUGAGUAGCUGGUCUGAGAGGAUGAUCAGCCACACUGGAACUGAAACACGGUCCAGACACCUACGGGUGGCAG